AAGUCCAGAGACUUAAAUUUGUAAUUCAAGUUCAAGUCCAGAGACUUAAAUUUAAGAAGGGAGGGACCUUUGCAAAAAAUAAGGUACAAGUCCAGUUAAAUUUAAGAAGGGAGGGACCUUUGCAAAAAAUAAGGUUCAAGUCCAGAGACUUAAAUUUGUAAUUCAAGUUCAAGUCCAGAGACUUAAAUUUAAGAAGGGAGGGACCUUUGCAAAAAAUAAGGUACAAGUCCAGUUAAAUUUAAGAAGGGAGGGACCUUUGCAAAAAAUAAGGUUCAAGUCCAGAGACUUAAAUUUGAGAAGGGAGGGAC
This is a long non-coding RNA of Leptopilina heterotoma, 308 nucleotides long. RefSeq lists it as uncharacterized. The record is from RefSeq and is a predicted model, not a curated record. The transcript has 3 exons. Lineage: Eukaryota; Metazoa; Arthropoda; Insecta; Hymenoptera; Figitidae.